UAAUAAGAAGUAAAAUUUACAAUCAGUUUCGACCUGAUAUUUAGAGAAUUACUUCUCUCUUAUUAG
This 66-nucleotide transfer RNA is filed under the name Oncopodura yosiiana. RNAcentral describes it as "tRNA-Arg". The record is from RNAcentral. Lineage: Eukaryota; Metazoa; Arthropoda; Collembola; Entomobryomorpha; Oncopoduridae.